AUCAUUACCGAGUUUUCCAACUCCCAAACCCAAUGUGAACGCUACCCAAUCGUUGCUUCGGCGCGGACGCCCGCAGGGGCGGACCGCCGGAGGCCAUUGAAACUCUUAUUGUAUCUCGCAGUGGCAUUUGUCUGAGUGAAGCCUUCGGGCGAAAAAAAUGAAUCAAAACUUUCAACAACGGAUCUCUUGGUUCUGGCAUCGAUGAAGAACGCAGCGAAAUGCGAUAAGUAAUGUGAAUUGCAGAAUUCAGUGAAUCAUCGAAUCUUUGAACGCACAUUGCGCCCGCCAGUAUUCUGGCGGGCAUGCCUGUUCGAGCGUCAUUUCAACCCUCAAGCCCCCGCGCUGGUGUUGGGGACCGGACGGGAGGGCUUUCUCCUCAGGGCCGCCCCCGAAAUUCAUUGGCGGUCCCGCCGCAGCCUCCUCUGCGUAGUAGCUCUUACGAACCUCGCACCGGAGAGCGGCUGGCCCACGCCGUAAAACCCCCCAACUUCUGAAUUGUUGACCUCGGAUCAGGUAGG
This 518-nucleotide ribosomal RNA is filed under the name [Paecilomyces] niphetodes. RNAcentral's name for it is "eukaryotic LSU rRNA". The stretch from base 167 to 320 matches the Rfam family "5.8S ribosomal RNA". The record is from RNAcentral. Lineage: Eukaryota; Fungi; Ascomycota; Sordariomycetes; Hypocreales; Clavicipitaceae.